AAUUGCCCAGAAUAUCGUCGGGGUCCAGCUACCAACCCUGGAUGACAUCUUCACACCCCGCUGUCUGAGGAAGUCACACAGCAUCCUGAGAGACUCUUCCCAUCCUGCUUAUAACUUUUUUGAACUGUUGCCGUCUGGCAGAAGAUAUAGAACAAUUAAGACUCGGACCACACGUUUUCUGAAUAGUUUUUAUCCCAGAGCUAUAAUUGCACUUAAUAAUGAGCUUAAAGACCNNNNNNNNNNNNNNNNNNNNNNNNNNNNNNNNNNNNNNNNNNNNNNNNNNNNNNNNNNNNNUGGUAAUUUUACACAAAGAGCCUCUUUAAGAUCACAAAAUUUCUCAUUCCUGGUUUACUCCAAGUUACACAACAAAUCUCCACUAUGGGAACAAAGCAUACCAGAAGACUUUGGCCUUUGUAACUUUAAGUUCUUUUGCUACUGAGAAGCAAAAAUGAAUGAAUGAAUGAAUAAAUAAAUAAAUAAAUAAAUAACUGGCAGCCUUCCCAAAAGUUUCAGUUUUGGAUUACAUUUUCAGAAUAUCCAGCAAAACUAAAAGAAAAAGAAAAAUUAAAGAGGACAAAAACAUUGUGGUUAAUUGCUAUAUUUAAAUACUUUAAAAUAUUUAAAUAUUUUUUAACUGACUGCUGUAUUUUAAUGUGAGCUUUCCUGGGCAAGUCCUCUUCUUCAGACAGUUUCCAAAAUGUGGUUGAUUCCAAGAUUUGUAUCCAAACACUCUGGCUACAUGACUGUUUGUUUCAGCACACAAGAUUUUUAUGGAAAGCCUUACCCAUCCUUGCUGCCAUCUACGCCAGACUGUGGCCAGAUACACCUGCUCAGUAGGAACAGUCCUGAUGCUAGAACAGAUGGAAAAACAGACUGACCAUGCCAAGACAUCAAGGAGAAAACUGGAGCUGAGCUCCCAAACGCAUACAAGGUAUGGGCCAAGUAGAAGGAGGAAUCUUUAUUAUGGCAUGACAGUAGUCAGGCAAUAUAUUUUGAGUAAGCACAGCAAACAGGAUUCUACAAUGAUGGAUGAUGCCCCAAACAGACAAUUAUAACUAUGAAACUGGACCUCAGAUCAGUACCAAAUAUGGCACAGCUGUGGCAGAAGGACUGCUUUUGCUCUGUGAUAAAUUUGGAUGUGUUUGGGCAAAGGGUUUUCGAGUUGUGAUUUUUAAAGCAGUAACACUGUUUUACCCCCAUAAAGACACAAGCGACCAUUUCGUCAGCUAAUAAAAAAGAGAUGAAAAGUGUAGAUAAGACA
RNAcentral lists this long non-coding RNA (1261 nucleotides) under Pogona vitticeps (central bearded dragon). RNAcentral's name for it is "lncRNA (ENSPVIG00000022002.1)". The record is from RNAcentral. Lineage: Eukaryota; Metazoa; Chordata; Lepidosauria; Squamata; Agamidae.